CAUGUAGCUUGGAUGGUUGGUUAGAGCAUGGUGCUGAUAACGCCAAGCUUGCAGGUUCGACAGCUGCAUAUUCAUUCCUGCACUGCAGGG
Molecule: non-coding RNA, 90 nt
Organism: Podarcis lilfordi (Lilford's wall lizard)
Lineage: Eukaryota; Metazoa; Chordata; Lepidosauria; Squamata; Lacertidae
Source: the annotation of a GenBank genome assembly